Molecule: unclassified non-coding RNA, 1377 nt
Filed under: Leishmania donovani
Lineage: Eukaryota; Euglenozoa; Kinetoplastea; Trypanosomatida; Trypanosomatidae
Description: gene:LdHU3.03.1000(CDS-product:inorganic_pyrophos phatase_putative)
Source: RNAcentral
UGUCAACAGCAUCCGCACAGGCAUAGGCGUGUGCCCUUCUUCGCUGAGCAGGACCUCUUACGCAGAUGCUGAGUCGAGCGUUGAGACUCCUUAGCAGCAAGUCGGCGGCCAGCGCUGUGGCCCUGCCCGUCUACAACACCACGGAGGAGGGCCCCGCCGGCAGCAAGGCGUGGCGCAUGUUUUACAAAGUUGGCGCCACAGACGCCAUAGUGUCGGCAUGGCACGACUUGCCCCUGUACGCUGGCGCUUCUGACGAUCAGCUUGUCCUCACCUGCGUGACUGAGAUCCCGAAGGGCACGCGCGCGAAGCUCGAGCUGAGCAAGGAGGAGCCGCACAACCCCAUCAAGCAGGACAUUUUCAAGAGCAAGGAGGGGCAGCCGCUGCGGUACUUCUCGUACGGCGACAUGCCCUUCAACUACGGAUUCCUGCCCCGCACCUGGGAGGAUCCGGUGCACAUCGACCCGAACACCAAGUGCAUCGGCGACGGCGACCCCGUCGACGUCGUACACAUCGGCACGCCGCAUCGCGUGGGCACCUACGGACCAGUGCGCAUCCUCGGUGUGCUCGGUCUGAUUGACGAGGGCGAGACCGACUGGAAGAUCAUCGUCGAGUCUGUGUCGGCGACGGCGGGCGAGGGCUACGGGAUGCUGUCGAAGGUGCCGCAGGAGUUGCAAGCGACCAUCAUCGACUGGUUCGAGAACUAUAAGGUGCCGGAUGGCAAGAAGAGGAACGAGUUUGCCUUUAACAAGGUGAUCAAGGAUGCCGAGACGGCGCUGGGCAUCGUCUCCCAGUGCGCCUCGCAGUAUAACGCCUUGGUGGAGGGGAAGUGCGUCAACCCGGGCUAUUGGCUUCGGUAGGCGCCGCAUCGCCUAUCAUCAUUCAUAUCGGUGCGUGCGGUGAUGGUUCGUGGGUGCUGGAUAAGGGUUGUGCCACAGGUGCAGCGAAGCUCUCGACGAAGACGGCGAAGAGAGCGAGAAGUAGAGAAGCAGGGACUGCCCACUGCCAUCAGAGGGUGGGGCACGCACUCUGUGUGCGCUGGAGGAGGCAAGAGAAGCCGCCCUCGCCCUGCCUCGUCACCACGCCGACUCCCCACCCUACCCCACCCCCGGCCCCAGGAUGAACCUUUUCCGUUUUCGCUUCGUCUUGCCCUUUUCGGUUGUCGCUCUCCUCUCGCGUACGGCAAGAAAGUGAGCAAAGAAAUAACAGCACGCGAGUCAGCGCGCGACACGGUUGGAGAUGGGGGAGGUGGAGCAUGGAGUCACUGCCUCAGUUCUCUCUCGCCCUCCCCCUACCCAGCCGUCGCUUCGUGCACUCACCAGAUAUCGAUCGCUGUUCCUCUCUCCUACCCAUCUGCACAUACGCGCACGCAUGCAUUCG